This 429-nucleotide ribosomal RNA is filed under the name Acidobacteriota bacterium. RNAcentral's name for it is "Acidobacteria bacterium partial 16S ribosomal RNA". It matches the Rfam family "Bacterial small subunit ribosomal RNA", at positions 355 to 776 of the family's 1533-position model. The record is from RNAcentral. Lineage: Bacteria; Pseudomonadati; Acidobacteriota.
UGGGGAAUUUUGGACAAUGGGGGAAACCCUGAUCCAGCCAUCCCGCGUGUGCGAUGAAGGCCUUCGGGUUGUAAAGCACUUUUGGCAGGAAAGAAACGUCAUGGGUUAAUACCCCGUGAAACUGACGGUACCUGCAGAAUAAGCACCGGCUAACUACGUGCAAGCAGCCGCGGUAAUACGUAGGGUGCAAGCGUUAAUCGGAAUUACUGGGCGUAAAGCGUGCGCAGGCGGUUCGGAAAGAAAGAUGUGAAAUCCCAGAGCUCAACUUUGGAACUGCAUUUUUAACUACCGGGCUAGAGUGUGUCAGAGGGAGGUGGAAUUCCGCGUGUGGCAGUGAAAUGCGUAGAUAUGCGGAGGAACACCGAUGGCGAAGGCAGCCUCCUGGGAUAACACUGACGCUCAUGCACGAAAGCGUGGGGAGCAAACAGG